UCAGGCCUAACACAUGCAAGUCUAACGGUAACGACACUAGCUUGCUAGUGGGCGACGAGUGGCGGACGGGUGAGUAACGCGUAGGAAUCUACCUAGUAGUGGGGGAUAGCCAAGGGAAACUUUGGGUAAUACCGCAUACGAUCUAAGGAUGAAAGGGGGCCUCUCUUUGAAGCUCUCGCUAUUAGAUGAGCCUGCGUAAGAUUAGCUUGUUGGUGAGGUAAUGGCUCACCAAGGCGACGAUCUUUAGCUGGUCUGAGAGGAUGAUCAGUCACACUGGAACUGAGACACGGUCCAGACUCCUACGGGAGGCAGCAGUCGGGAAUAUUGGACAAUGGGGGAAACCCUGAUCCAGCCAUGCCGCGUGUGUGAAGAAGGCCCUAGGGUUGUAAAGCACUUUUAGUAGUGAGGAAGGCUCAGCAGUUAAUACCUGCUGGGAUUGACGUUAGCUACAGAAAAAGCACCGGCUAAUUUCGUGCCAGCAGCCGCGGUAAUACGAAAGGUGCAAGCGUUAAUCGGAAUUACUGGGCGUAAAGCGCGCGUAGGCGGCUUGGUAAGUUGGAUGUGAAAGCCCCGGGCUCAACCUGGGAACUGCAUCCAAAACUGCCUAGCUAGAGUAUGGUAGAGGAUGGCGGAAUUUCCUGUGUAGCGGUGAAAUGCGUAGAUAUAGGAAGGAACAUCAGUGGCGAAGGCGGCCAUCUGG
Molecule: ribosomal RNA, 700 nt
Filed under: uncultured bacterium
Lineage: Bacteria
Description: bacterial SSU rRNA
Rfam family: Bacterial small subunit ribosomal RNA
Source: RNAcentral